AGGGUUCGAUUCUGGCUCAGGAUGAACGCUAGCGGCAGGCUUAACACAUGCAAGUCGAGGGGCAGCGGGAUGUAGCAAUACAUUGCCGGCGACCGGCGGAUGGGUGCGUAACGCGUAUGCAACCUACCUUAUACAGGGGAAUAACCUUUCGAAAGGGAGACUAACACCCCAUAGUAUUGAUUUAAGGCAUCUUAGAUUAAUUAAAUAUUUAUAGGUAUAAGAUGGGCAUGCGUAUGAUUAGCUAGUUGGUAAGGUAACGGCUUACCAAGGCGACGAUCAUUAGGGGUUCUGAGAGGAAGGUCCCCACACUGGUACUGAGACACGGACCAGACUCCUACGGGAGGCAGCAGUGAGGAAUAUUGGUCAAUGGGCGCAAGCCUGAACCAGCCAUGCCGCGUGCAGGAAGACGGCCUUAUGGGUUGUAAACUGCUUUUACAUAAGACUAACCGUAUAUUUGCGAAUAUACCUGAAUGUAUUAUGAGAAUAAGGAUCGGCUAACUCCGUGCCAGCAGCCGC
RNAcentral lists this ribosomal RNA (516 nucleotides) under uncultured bacterium. Its description in RNAcentral is "bacterial SSU rRNA". It matches the Rfam family "Bacterial small subunit ribosomal RNA", at positions 8 to 518 of the family's 1533-position model. The record is from RNAcentral.